CUACGGGAGGCAGCAGUCGGGAAUUUUGGGCAAUGGGCGAAAGCCUGACCCAGCAACGCCGCGUGAAGGAUGAAGUAUUUCGGUAUGUAAACUUCGUAAGAAUAGGAAGAAUUAAUGACGGUACUAUUUGUAAGGUCCGGCUAACUACGUGCCAGCAGCCGCGGUAAUACGUAGGGACCAAGCGUUGUUCGGAUUUACUGGGCGUAAAGGGCGCGUAGGCGGCGUGACAAGUCACUUGUGAAAUCUCCGGGCUUAACUCGGAACGGCCAAGUGAUACUGUUGUGCUAGAGUGCAGAAGGGGCAAUCGGAAUUCUUGGUGUAGCGGUGAAAUGCGUAGAUAUCAAGAGGAACACCUGAGGUGAAGACGGGUUGCUGGGCUGACACUGACGCUGAGGCGCGAAAGCCAGGGGAGCAAACGGGAUUAGAAACCCCGGUAGUCC
Molecule: ribosomal RNA, 440 nt
Filed under: uncultured bacterium
Lineage: Bacteria
Description: bacterial SSU rRNA
Rfam family: Bacterial small subunit ribosomal RNA
Source: RNAcentral